RNAcentral lists this ribosomal RNA (243 nucleotides) under uncultured prokaryote. RNAcentral's name for it is "partial 16S ribosomal RNA". It matches the Rfam family "Bacterial small subunit ribosomal RNA", at positions 524 to 766 of the family's 1533-position model. The record is from RNAcentral.
UACGGAGGGUGCGAGCGUUGUCCGGAAUUACUGGGCGUAAAGCGUGCGCAGGCGGUUUUGUAAGACAGGCGUGAAAUCCCCGGGCUCAACCUGGGAACUGCGCUUGUGACUGCAAGGCUAGAGUAUGGCAGAGGGGGGUGGAAUUCCACGUGUAGCAGUGAAAUGCGUAGAGAUGUGGAGGAACACCGAUGGCGAAGGCAGCCCCCUGGGCCAAUACUGACGCUCAUGCACGAAAGCGUGGGU